Molecule: long non-coding RNA, 1424 nt
Organism: Brachypodium distachyon (stiff brome)
Lineage: Eukaryota; Viridiplantae; Streptophyta; Magnoliopsida; Poales; Poaceae
Exons: 6
Source: RefSeq, a predicted model, not a curated record
CGUGUCUUGUGGAACUAUGCGGUGCCGCUCCCGCUCGAUCUGCCGUUGCUGGCUGCCUCAUUUCCCUCGUCCCUUCGCUUAUUCUCCGGUUCUCCCUCCCGCCGCCAAUCCCCUUCGAUCUGUCGUCUUGGGGUUUCUUUGUUUGUCCAGGUUCGUUCGGAUUUCGCUUCUUUUUGCCUUGCUGGGCGCGGUGUGUUCGUGCCCUUCUUAUUUGUUGCCCAACGCCGCUACCUCGCCAUGUGCUCCUUUCUCUCUUCCUCCAGCCAUAUAGUGAGCCACCAAGGUCGACAUGAUGCACCUGGUAGCUGUCCUGCCCUUCCGUCUGCACAAUCCACCUGCCCUUCAAGAACGAGAGUGAGGUUUCCUCAUUCUAUCUCUUUGUUGGGUAAAUUUGGUGCCUCUUUUGAAUAAACCAUGUCUAGAGAGUAUCACCCCGGAGGAAGAACCCGGAGCCAACGAAUUUUUACAGAUUAAAACGUCGGAUGGUUUGUAUGCCUACAGUUGGAAGAACUACACUUCGAAGAAGGAUGCUUUCCAAGAUGGAAGAAUAUGCCAAGAGGCUACCUUCUGGAUACAAAAGUUCUCUCUGGUGUCCAAAGUUUUGUCGUGUGCUUGUUGAGGAAGCUGCUUGGAAAAGAUGAUAGUAUUGUAUUUCUUAUCUGAACGCUUGCAGGAACACGAGGAGUUUGCAAAGGUGAAAAAUAGGGAAUAUGGAACUUGGGAAAAACUAUGAGAUAGAUACCUGGUAAUUCUCUCCUUUCCCACCAGAGUACAAUGACUCCACAAAGCUGUUUUACUGUGAGUUUUGCCUGAACUUCAUGAAGCGCAAAGAACAGCUCCAGAGGCACAUGAAGAAGUGUGAUCUUAAGCAUCCUCCAGGUGAUGGAAUCUACGGAUGUGGAGCUUUGUCGAUGUUUGAGAUUGAAUUCAGUGGAGUCAUGGAUCAAAACCUGAAGGUUUGCUUUGCAAUUUGAAGGGCACAACACCUUUUUUAUGCAUUUUUGUCUUCAUUGGAAGAAGAAACUCCAGGCUAUGGAAUCAAUGAACUGGCCACACAUAGUGAGCUCCUUCAUGUUCAUUUGGGGAAAUAUUUUGAGGCCAUGGUGAGGGCAGGAGAUAUAAAGCUCUCAAAGAGGUACGCCCCAUAGGGGCCCUCUAUUGCAUCACAUAUGCCGCGCCGGUGUAAUUGGCUCCUUCAUGUUUGUCAACUAUACGACCGAUAAAAAACAAGGCAAAAUAUAUGCUUUCUAUAAAGGUAGCUAUUUCUGCAGGGUGUUUUGCACCAACAAGCAUAAUGCUGCUAAUAUAUAUCUUGGCUAUUCCAGUUCUCAUCUUCUGGUUGUAUUGGGUUGAGAUCAUUGUAACCGGGGUUAAUCUGUUUAGAACAUGUAGGAGGAUAGUAAAAAAAACUGCUACUUUGCAUA